Camelina sativa (false flax) is the source of this 138-nucleotide non-coding RNA. Lineage: Eukaryota; Viridiplantae; Streptophyta; Magnoliopsida; Brassicales; Brassicaceae. The record is from RefSeq and is a predicted model, not a curated record.
CCCGUGGAAAUAUUAUACAGCAAAGAGCGUCCUGUCAGUUAUAUUGAGUCAUCUCUGAAAGUAGCAAUUGAUAUACAUGCUCGUGAGCCAGAAGGUGAUAUCUUAAUCUUUAUGACUGGACAGGAUGAUAUAGAAAAG